UCCUACUUCUCGAUUCUAGUCCUCCUGGGC
RNAcentral lists this non-coding RNA (30 nucleotides) under Mus musculus (house mouse). The record is from RNAcentral. Lineage: Eukaryota; Metazoa; Chordata; Mammalia; Rodentia; Muridae.